Molecule: long non-coding RNA, 636 nt
Organism: Rhopalosiphum padi (bird cherry-oat aphid)
Lineage: Eukaryota; Metazoa; Arthropoda; Insecta; Hemiptera; Aphididae
Exons: 3
Source: RefSeq, a predicted model, not a curated record
UGAUGAUGCCGGGUAUCUCGUUCUCCUCGUAGCCCAGCCCGAACGACGCCAGCAGCAUCAUCGGGCACGCCACGCACGGUCCGAAGAACACGCUGUUCUGUAAACACCAGUAAAGUGUACAAGAAAAUAUAUCGGAAAGACAUCAUAUAAUAAAGCGUUAUAAUUGAAAUUAAUAAUAGUGCUCUCUCCUGCAGAUGUACAAGUAUAGUGAUGUAAAAUUAUAUCUACCGUAUAAUAGUAAUAAUAAUAGUAAUAGUUAGAUAAUGAGUGAUGGUAUAAUGAUGACGAUCAUAAUGGACACGUUCAAACUUCUAAUAGGGCUGGAUUACAGGUGGCAUACGAAAACCGCAUUUCAUAAGCAAAGAAAAUCUACUCUGCGUGUGCGUCAUAGUGUUGUGUUUUCAAACACGAAUACAAAGAGGAAUCCUGUACGGCUGUAGUACUUCAACGACACUUGAAGUUUGUCGUAGGUAAGAUGUACUCCACAUUCCAGUUGUAAAACAGUUGCAAAACGAGAUUUACGAUUGUAUAAUAAAACUCGCAAAAGAAUGUGACAUACUAUAUAAAAUUGUAAGCUACAUAUAAUGUGAUCCUAGGAGGUGGAAAAAACUUCCUUAUUUUAUUAUAUCUAUGCCU